Cinara cedri is the source of this 383-nucleotide non-coding RNA. NCBI's taxonomy places the organism in Eukaryota, Metazoa, Arthropoda, Insecta, Hemiptera, Aphididae. The record is from the annotation of a GenBank genome assembly.
GAACUUAAAAAAAUAUACAUGUGCAAUGAGCAUAGUAUAUUAUAUAAAACAUAUUUUAGACUACCCGCCAACAUCUGGAAAUUGAUUUUAGUUCCUACGUUAAGGACAUACCAGUUCGCCACUUUCCUUAGGCAAACUUCUGGUUCACCAAUUCGCUACUGAUUACCAUGGAAAAAUGUACGUGUUCUUUAUAUGAACAAAAUAUAGUUCUCAUUAGGUACAUACGAGAAAUGGUUUCACGGAAAAUUGGUGGAAACUGAAAUAAAUACAAAUUUAAAAACGGCACAACAGACGGGACAAUAUUGUAGCUACGAUGAAGGAUAUUUUUUCCCAUAUUUUUACUAUGGUACAUAAUAGAAAUAAGUUUUUUUCUGUGUGAGGGA